Molecule: long non-coding RNA, 368 nt
Filed under: Solanum tuberosum (potato)
Lineage: Eukaryota; Viridiplantae; Streptophyta; Magnoliopsida; Solanales; Solanaceae
Description: long non-coding RNA (STUB_LNC000769)
Source: RNAcentral
GGUAAAAAUGAUUAUGGCAACAAACAGGCCAGAUGUUUUGGACCCAGCUCUUCUUCGCCCUGGUCGGUUAGAUAAAAAGAUAGAAAUACCCUUGCCUAAUGAACUAUCAAGAAUUGAGAUCCUCAAGAUUCAUGCUGCUGGAAUUGCCAAACAUGGUGACAUUGAUUAUGAAGCUGUUGUUAAGCUUGCCGAGGUGUGCUAGUGAUGCUAUGAAAAUUAGUUUGCUUGUGUUGCCUAAGCGGAGUUUUGACAGUCUGUUUCUCCUCAGGGUUUUAAUGGGGCUGAUCUUCGAAAUGUGUGCACUGAAGCUGGUAUAUCAGCAGUACGUGCAGAACGUGAUUAUGUCAUCCAUGAGGAUUUCAUGAAGG